UCAUUGGCUUCCCUUCCUCUAUCCCUCUUCAGAGUCCCCCUGUCCUUUCCUGUAAUGGUCAGGAGAGAACUCAGACACAGUGGCCACAGUUCAAGAAAGACAAAGGGCGACCGUAAACUAUACCUUAACUCGUGGAACUUCUUCAUGGGGCGAGACCAACUGCCUAUACCUUCAGCAUCUCAGUGAAGUCUUCCUGUGACAUCCAUAGAAGAGAAGAAGAAAUAAAAGAUUAGAGAAAUCAAAUCA
This 246-nucleotide long non-coding RNA is filed under the name Mus spicilegus (steppe mouse). Its description in RNAcentral is "lncRNA (ENSMSIG00000003672.1)". The record is from RNAcentral. Lineage: Eukaryota; Metazoa; Chordata; Mammalia; Rodentia; Muridae.